RNAcentral lists this ribosomal RNA (254 nucleotides) under uncultured bacterium. RNAcentral's name for it is "partial 16S ribosomal RNA". It matches the Rfam family "Bacterial small subunit ribosomal RNA", at positions 524 to 776 of the family's 1533-position model. The record is from RNAcentral.
UACGUAGGGAAGCAAGCGUUGUCCGGAAUCACUGGGCGUAAAGCGCGUGUAGGCGGAUGGGCAAGUCUGCUGUGAAAGCGCCUGGCUUAACCGGGCGAGGUCGGUGGAAACUGCUCGUCUUGAGGUCGGUAGAGGCAGAUGGAAUUCCCGGUGUAGUGGUGAAAUGCGUAGAGAUCGGGAGGAACACCUGAGGCGAAGGCGGUCUGCUGGGCCGCACCUGACGCUGAGACGCGAAGGCGCGGGGAGCGAACGGG